GUUUCUUUCCCUUGGUACAGUGUUUUUGAGAUUCAUGUAUGUGAUAGCAUGUAUCAGUAUUCCAUUCUUUUUCAUUGUUGAAUAGUAUUCCACUGUAUGGAUAUACCACAUGUUUUCUAUCUAUUGACAAAAUGAUGGACAUUUAGAUCAUUGUAGCUUUUAGUUAUCAUGAAUAAUGUUGAUAUGAGUGUUCACCUACAAAUAUUUAUGUGAACAUGUGUUUUUGAAUCUUUUAGAUAAAUAUUUAGGAGGAAAAUCAUUAGGCUGCUUAAUAAACUUAUUUUUAACUUUUAAAGAAACUAAUGAACUGUUUUCAUGAGGGAUGACACAAUUCCCACAAAUGAUAUAUAAAGAUUCUAGUCUCCAUAUUCUUGCUAAUGCUUGGUGUUGUCUACCUUUUUUAUUGUAGCAGUCACAUGGGCAUAUAAAGUCACCUUGUUGGGUGUGGUUUUCUAUGGCUUCCACUCCACCCCCUCAUCAACACUAUUAGUCAGGAUAGGCUAGGUUAUGCUGUGGUAACCAGCAACCUCCAAGCCUCAGUGAGUUCAAACCACACAUGCUGCAUGGCUAAUGAUGACUAGAAAUGGUAAGGAGAAGGAGUGCUCUUCAAUGGCACCCAGGGACCCAGGCUGAUGGGAAGUUCUGGAGGAGGAAAAGGCAGACUGCUGUGGUUUUAACAUCAUUGCCAAUGCUCAUGGUGAAAUUUAAUUUCCUUUGUAACAGAGGUUGCACCUUUGAGAGGUGGGAUCUUUAAGAGAUGAUUAGGACAAAAAGGCACUACCCUUGCCAAUGGAUUAAGCCUUUUAUUGUAGGAGUGAGUUUGUUAUUAGUGGACUCUUGGUGAAAGGAUGAGUUUGGUCUGCUUUCUCUACUUGCCUUUCUUCCAUGUUACAAUGCAGCACAAAAGCUCUGGCCAGACACUGAUGCCAUUCUCUUCUUAGUCUCCAGAACUGUGAGAAUUUUUUUUCUUCUUAUAAGUUACCUAGCAUGUAAUAUUCUGUUAUAGCAAUGGAACAUGGGCUAAGACACAGACCACACCAGUUCUCAAAGCUUCUGCCUGACAGUGACAAAGUAACUUUUAUUCCUAUUUCACUAGCUGGCAUUUCACAUGGUCACCAUUAACUUCAAAAGUUGGCAAAAAGGGCUGGGCCUGUGGCUCAGUGGUAGUUCACUUGCCUGGCAUGUGUGAGACACUGGGUUCAAUUUUCAGCACAUAAAAGUAAAUAAAUAAAAUAAAGGUCUACCAACAAUGAAAAAAAAUAAAAAAGUGAGUGAAAAAUAGAAUUAUUAUUUUAUCAAGAGGGAAAGGUUAAUUGGAAUAUUUGUGAAAAGCUAAUGCAUUUCAUAAAUGCUGAGGAAGAUAGUCUCAGCUUUCUACAGAACUAGGAAUCCAAAGCCCAGAGCUGAAGGGCCUUGAGGAAGAAACUGCUAAUAUUUCAAGCAGAAGCAAUCUACCACCCAAGCCUGCAUGUGUGUGUGUGUGUGUGUGCGUGUGUGUGUGUUUGUGUGUGUGUGUUUGUGUGUGUGUGUUUGUGAGGGUACCAGGGAUUGAAUUCAGGGCAGUCGGCCACUGAGCUACAUCCCCAGCCCUUUUUUGUAUUUUGUUUAGAGACGGUCUCCCUGAGUUGCUUAGCACCUGGCUGUUGCUGAGGCUGGCUUUGAACUCAUGAUCCUCCUGCCUCAGUCUCAAGAUGCUGGGAUUACAGGUGUGCACCAUGUUGCUUGCAUUCUUAUUAACUACAUUGACACUUUCACUGAGAUACUGUUUGCUACAGAGUUUUUAAACAUCCCCACUGAGGAGUAGAACACACACACACACACAAACAACUUUGGCACAUGGCUUUACUCAGUCCCACAAUGAGAUUGAGCUCACAUCUAGAGAGCCAUGUCAUGGUGUCUAAAUACUGACUCUGCCUGCCUGCUUCAAACUAGGGUCCAUGUAAUCAUCUCCAUAGAGAUAUAGAAGACCCCUGGUCCUGUCACCACCUUUAUAGAUAAAGAUCAUAUCCUUUUACUACCCGUCCCUACAUACACAGUGCUUUUGCUCUCAUAAAACUCCAGAACAAAUUCCCAACAGAGAACACCCUGAAUACUUGAAGUGGGUCAAAUAAAUAUUUUAAUUAAAAGCCAUCAAAGACCAGGAGAGGGACUUUAUUGUAAAUAGGGAAGAGCAGCACGUAACUUCAAGCUGACUUGGUGCCCCUAGGAGAGUAGAGCCAUAGAUUUCUAGGUCUCCGUGCUGAGAGCUGCAUCAUAGUCAGGUGUGCAAUGCAUUCUCCAGGCCUGGACUGGGCUCUGUCGGCUGGCUUUGAAACCUUGUACAGCUGACUCCUCUAAGCCUUAGUUCUCUCCUUGGUAAAUGUUAAUAAUAGGAGGAUCUAUUGGACUUAGGAUUGAAUAAAGAAAUAUGUGAAAGUCCUUAGCAGGGCUCCCGGAGCUUGGGGAGUGGUCAUGUUAACCAGUUGUACCAUUGAUGUCAUCAUAACAUAUUCAGGUAGCUGAAAACAGAAGUCUCCAGAUUUGGUGUUCAGGGACUUGUUGGUCUUGGAAUCAUUCUAGGUUGAAAUUACCCUGGGAUGACUGUCUCCAUUUCUGAUUAUGCCUAUUUUUGUCAACACUAGUCCAGGACAAUUUGUGAUAAGUUAAAGGAAAGGAAAAAAAUCAAGGAGAUGUUGAAGAGAAUAGAAAGAUGUUGAAGAGUGCUGAUGACUCCCUCAAGGGGGGAGGAAGUGUCCAGUGGGGGAAGAACAUGGCUGUGCCUUUCUUACUACCUCUGGGGCCCUGAGCAGAUCAUGUUGCCUCUCUGGCCCUCAGGGUAGGAGACCAUAAGCAGUGGAACUUUAGUUUUGCCUGUGGUGUCACUUUAAAGUUUCAAUGGGGUGAGUCCUUAUCCCCACAUUGGAUAAGAACUUCAGGCUGGCACCAGAACAUUCCUUCUCACUCAUAAUUUUAAACACUCCUUUUAUUACUAAGUCCCACAGUUAGUCUCUUUUCUAAAAUUGGAAUGUCCUACCUAACACACUAACCUAUACUUCAGACUUUCUUGAAGAGAGCCUUCUUCAUAUUCCGCCAUGUGGUCCACUGUAGAGAGUUGCUAAUCUUCUGGGAAGAGGAAAAUAGAUGCCAUCUCCCCCCACAUGUGCACAUGGAGCUGGAAACAGGGAGAGGUAGG
RNAcentral lists this long non-coding RNA (3172 nucleotides) under Marmota monax (woodchuck). Lineage: Eukaryota; Metazoa; Chordata; Mammalia; Rodentia; Sciuridae. The record is from RNAcentral.